GACGAACGCUGGCGGCGUGCUUAACACAUGCAAGUCGAACGGAAAGGCCCUGCUUUUGUGGGGUGCUCGAGUUGCGAACGGGUGAGUAACACGUGAGUAACCUGCCCUUGACUUUGGGAUAACUUCAGGAAACUGGGGCUAAUACCGGAUAGGAGCUCCUGCUGCAUGGUGGGGGUUGGAAAGUUUCGGCGGUUGGGGAUGGACUCGCGGCUUAUCAGCUUGUUGGUGGGGUAGUGGCUUACCAAGGCUUUGACGGGUAGCCGGCCUGAGAGGGUGACCGGCCACAUUGGGAGUGAGAUACGGCCCAGACUCCUACGGGAGGCAGCAGUGGGGAAUAUUGCACAAUGGGCGGAAGCCUGAUGCAGCAAAGCAGCGUGCGGGAUGACGGCCUUCGGGUUUUAAACCGCUUUCGCCUGUGACGAAGAGUGAGUGACGGUAAUGGGUAAAGAAGCACCGGCUAACUACGUG
RNAcentral lists this ribosomal RNA (468 nucleotides) under uncultured bacterium. Its description in RNAcentral is "partial 16S ribosomal RNA". It matches the Rfam family "Bacterial small subunit ribosomal RNA", at positions 28 to 507 of the family's 1533-position model. The record is from RNAcentral.